CGCGGCCGCUCAGUGCGCAUGCGUCCCCCCCGCGCCUCAAAUGGCGUAGGCCUUAAAGGGCUACGCGCGGCAAAUACGGUCCGGCGGGGCGGGGCUGGGGGAGGGGCCCCCCGUGGAGCCUCCCCCCCAAAUGAUGAUGAUGGCUGUUUUUGGGGGGCUAUGGCAGCCCCAAGAACCCCACUGAGAGCGGGGCGCCCGCCGGGCCAGGGGCUGCCCCCACGCAGAGCGGGAGCUGCCCCCUGCCCCGCCGGGCCUACGCUCGCCAAGGCAAAGCCGUGCCCGGGCGGGGAGAGCCGCCGCAUGCCAAACUCGGGACGCUUUCAAAAAGGGGGGCUUGUUUUAUCUGCCCGUUGGGUUUCUUUGCUCCCCGGCGGGGUCGCGUGUUCCAGCUUUUCUCCGCACCCGAGAGCUACAACUUCGCCUUCAAAGAAAGUCUCCUGAGAUUCUCCUGUGUUCUGAGAACGCCAGGAGCUGGAGCUUUGAAGAAAAUCCCAAAUAUCGUGAGGCCCUGGAGGAAAAUCCUGAGAAUCGGCAGCACUGUUCUCUCACCUCAGCGAGUGAGGUCUGGGCCCUGGUUCUAGCAAAGCCCAAGUCGUCGGUUAGACCUCUGAGGUCAGCCCAGUCUGGCAAUGGGUUCCCUGAGGACUGCAAAGCUGUGAACUUCGCUGCCACAUGGACAGCACCUGCGUUUAUACUGAAGCUCCUUCAGAACUGCUGGGUUUGCACUGUUCUGACCCAGGGUGCCUUUGAGCCAAGUUUCCCUUUGAGGCUUAACCUGUCACGUGGGGCUACGUGUGUAUAUAGGCAAAGCCUCGUUGUUUAAGGGAGGAUACACCGAUUUCUAUCGGAUGAGGAUCUGGCCACCAGCAUGGAAGCUGGCAGCUACACCUGAUCCCCAGAGGAUAUAAGGUUUGUCAUCCCCCUUGGGAACUGGAGCCAGAUUUGGAAUGGAUUCUCGCCAGGAGCAGGAUCAGUCCACUCUGCUACCCUGCAGCAGGGGUUCUCAACCUUUUUCUUACUGAGACCCUCCAUCUGCUAUAAAAACUCCACAGCUCACUUAUGCCCCAAGAAACUUUUUUCUGCAUAUAAAAGCCAGGGCCAGCAUUAGGGGGUAGCAAACCGGGCAAUUGCCCAGGGCUGCACGCCACAGAGGCCCUGCGAAGCUAAGUUGCUCAGAAUUCUGCUUCAGCCAUGAGUGAUGGGGCUUAGAGACCCGGGCUUCAGCCCCAUUCCAUGGGGCUUUGGCUUUCUGCUCUCGGCCCCAGCAAGUCUAAUGCUGGCCCUGCUUGGCGGACCCCUUGAAACCUGCUCACGGCCCCCCAGGAGGUCCUGGACGUCUGGUUGAGAACUACAGCAUGCUGCAAUAUGAACAGAGAACUGCACUUAACCCUGCAGCCACUGGGGGUCUCCCUGCCACAGAAGUAUGGGUGCAAAUAUUCUUGGCAGAAUGGCCAUCAGAUCCCUUCCUAACCCUAGGGUGCAGGGUUGAGACAUGGCCCACAGGGUAUUCCUCAGAGUCCCUGGCACUCUGCAGUCUCCGGAGCUGGGAAGGGUGAGAAUUGACUCCUUUACUCUCAAGAGACAGAGGAUGCUUCCCAGUUUGCACCCCUGCAAUCCCGUAAGGGACAUCCCAUUAGAAAGCAAUGAGGAAAAGCUGUGUCUGACCUCAAGCGGCAUUGCGCCAGGUAGCAGCCUCCCUCCAAGUCAGGAAUGGACAGCAAUGACCAACGGACGUGGGGGAGCAAACUGCAAAUACAGCAUGAACCCCUCUCCUGGUGGGUUUUUCCCACCUCUGACAACGACCCAAGGGAGCUGGCUUUUCCUUACAUGUUGGCAGCACUUUGUACAGCUUGUCAUGUCAAUGAAGUCACUGAAGUGAAGAGAACUACCCAGCUCUGCAGUGAGGGCUUAGUUCCCAGUCUCCCUUACGUGUCCUGUGGUUAUUUCCACAGUGCCAGUUGCUACCCAAUGAAAAUGGUGCAGGAUUUUUAUACCCACUUUGCACAAGUACGAAUGACGGCACAAAGUGCAGGGAAAUGGAGACAUUGGCAUGCUGCCUUGGCCACUUGGCAGCACGUCCUGACUGAUGACCCUGGAAUAGAACCAGAGGAGAAUAUUUUCCUCCUGAGCAUCUGGGAUCCAAACACUGCUGUCCUUGCACAGGCGAAAAUACCUCUCACUUUCAGUGCAGGCUGUGGCCCCAAAGUCUCAGCCUCAAGCUGCCUGUCUCUUUUCCUUGUCCGCUCUCUUAACACCCCGGUAACAACAAUGCCAAUCAAACACAGCAUUGAAUGCAGACAGCCUUGACUAAGCAACUCUGUGAAGAGCUGUCACAACCUCAUCAGCUCUGCAUGGAAGGAGCCACUGUUUGAUAUUCUAGCCUUCGACUGGGUGUCGAGACUGUGCUCCAUGCUUGACAGGGAGAUGACUUCCUGAGCCAAGAGUCUGCCUCCCAGGGGCUGAUCCCAGAGAGCCUCUUCUCCACUCUUUCAAUUCGUCAUAUUGCCCUGGAGUGGCGCCAUCACCCUCUGAGGCCCUUACCCCACAAUGAUUAUGCAUGUUACAUUAGAAGCAGGGAGCAUGAUGUGACCAGAGAGAAAGCGGCUCAGAGGAGACCAGACCAUAGCUCUAGGAUGAAAAAAAAACCAGAAACUUCAUCUUGCUGCUGAGAUGCCUUUAGAAACUGUCUCUGGGAGGAGGGGGGGAAAGUUUUGUGCUCUGGUUAUCUGCAAAUAGUCUGUCAUUUCUGAGGAGACGAGACACAUGCACGCCAGGGCUGAGGAGGUGAGUAAUCCCCACCAUGACAGAGAUGACAAGGAGCCUUCACAACUGUUUUCUAGUUAGAAAUGAUCAGGCUAAACCCUCAGGAUCAGGAGUUCUAACAAACAGCUAUGCUCUGGGAGACAGCAGCUUGGGGUCUGAGCCAGGGUUUGCUCUUUAGCAAGCUUCCUAGAAGCUUCCAGCCCUUGCACGGGGCUAGUAAUUGCUAGGAUUAGAGGCAGUGUGACCUAGAGGGUAGAGCGCUGAGACUUGGGUUCUAUUCCUGGCUCUGACACUAGUAGUAUUAUGAUAGAAUCAGGAUCCAUUGUGCUAGGCGCUGUACAGACAGAACAAAAAGACAGUCCCUGCCCCAGAGAGCUUCCAGUCUACGUAUAAGACAAGAGAUGACGGAUCAGUACAGACGGGGGAGUGCAAUGAGUGAAUACUGGUCAGCAUGGCAGGGAGUGGUCUCUGCACGCCAGCAGCCGACUAUUGCCAGGUUGGUUGGUUGUUUCGUUGCUGGAUGACCUCAGAGCAAGUCACGUUCCCUGCCUGUGCCUCAGUUUCCCUAGCUGUAAAAUGGGGAUAAUGAUAUUUAUCCCUUGAUAUUCACAGACGGAAAGUGCCGGGUAUUAACCCGGUUUGGUUAAACUGCUGGAAGCCCUUGUGUGGGCCCCCUUUUUCUUGUGGUUUAAGGCCUUGGGAAAGUUCACCAGUUUAAUUUCAACCGGAUUUAGCUAAACUGCUGCAAAUGUGCUGCAAGGUCGCUCUUAUUUCAGUGUAAGAGCAGCUUAGUUUAGUUCAGCUUCAGUCCCCAAUUAACUCCAGCUAAACCACAAAGAGCCUCUUGUAAACUGGAUUAAGAGCAUCGACUUGGCUGUUUCCCACCAGUUUAACUGAACUGACUGUUCUGGAUGUAGACAAGUGGGAUGGCGAAACAAACUCCUGCUGCUCUGCUCUGUGACACACGUCUGUACUGCUACUCAGAUGGCAGGUGGGUGGCUGGGACACUCCAGGGCUCCGAGUCUGAGUUAUGCCCUGCAUCAUGUGCUGGCAUUUACACCAGAGCAGGAUGGACCUGUUCUGAUCUAGAAGUGUUUCCCAACAUGCUGCCCUGGUGUAAGCUCAGAGCAGCUGAGAGUCAGGCCUCAGGUGUAUCUGCAGGGGUCGGAACAGAGGUUGCGAUGUAGAAGCUCAGUGCUCAGAGGACACCUGCACUAUCCCGAAGCCUGCUGCCCCACACUUAGGGGUUCAAGUCCAUACUGAGCUGGGGAGGGCAAGGCUGGCUUUACAACCCCUUUACUCUAGAUUCUAGGCUGCUUUGGGGCAAAAACGUCCCCUGGCAUAAGACAGAGCAAACAGGUGCCCAUCAGUGGCACAGAGCAGAAUCCAUGAAGCACCAGGUUAUCCGGGCCUGCCCUCGAUUUGCUCACAGCAGCCCCACGCUGUUCUUGGGUGGUGGGAUUCUCUCCAGUCCAUUGUGUUGAGUUUACGUGCCAUUUGCCCCUGCACACCCCCAGAACAAGGGACAGAUUCUGUUUCACAAGAUUUUGUUAACAAGAGAUCUGAUAAGUCGGGCUAUUUUGCAUUCCCAUCCCCCUCCCCCGCAGCUCCGUUAGUGCCAUGAGCUAUUCUCAGUCUGUGAAAACCUUCACUGAGCAUGCUGAGCGAUGCAUCUGUCACAGGGCUCCUCACCUCAGAGUGACCCACCCAGGCCCUCCUAUUUGCAGAGCCCUGCGUUCUUGCCGGUUCACCUAAACCUCUGUAAAUGUCAGCUGGGCGAGCGAGGCAUACCCACUGAUAGUAACAGCAAACAGGAACGGCGUCGUUUCAAGCCACGCAAAGAUCUGCAGGUUACGGACUUUACACAAGUUGAGCAUGUCUAGGUCUAGACCUUGUGGGGAAUAAGGAGGUGGCUAGGGUGCAGGCUGUACUACAAGCUGCUGAAGAGCUUGGUUAGUGGAACAGAAGGCUGGGCCUCCCGUGGAAUUCUGUCUGAAUACAGCUGAUGCUUAUAAGGAAGGGGAAAUGAGGGGAACGAACGUAGUGCCCUGGGUGGGGUGCAAUAGACGCAGCAGGGUUUGUGGGUAGGGUACUGAACAAGGAGGCAGAAGGUGGUUUUAGUCCUUCCUCUGUCACUGCCUGGCUAGAUGAGCUGGGGCAAGUCCCUCCUGCUCUGUGCUUCUAUUUAGCCUGGAAGUGUAACUCACGGCUCCGGGUGACAUGAGUCUGCGACAGCCUCCAGCUAGGGAGUCUGGCUCUUCAGCACAAGCUACAGAGACGUGUGUAGGUCUCUGGUCCUAUCCCCAGUGCUCACCUAGAUGGUGUCUGUCACAAAAGCUCUUUAGGGUAACACUGUCUCUUGCUUUGUCUGUGCAGUGCCCGGCACAGUGCAGGAGCCAGUCUUGGUAGGGGUCUGUGCAGCACCCGGCACAGUGUGGGUCUUGGUCUUGGUUGGGGUCUGUGCAGCGCCCAGCACGGUAGGGGUCUUGGUCAGAGUCUGUCCAGUGCCCAGCCCAAGGUGGGUCUCAGUGGCAGGCACAGUGGGAGCACUGUUCUAGGUUGGGGUCUGUGCAGCACCCAGUGCAGCGAGGGGCCCAUAGGGGUCUGCAUGCCUGUUGCAGUGGGGCUCUCAUCUCUAUUGCGGCCUCUAGGGGGUUACAGUAACUGAUGUACUAUUAAGCAUCUGUUGUCACUGUAAAUUGUUCACGUGACAGCUAGCAUGAAGAGGCAGGGGCAGAGACGUGGUCCUUUUCCCCAAGGCCUCCAUAAUGCUGCAGAGUAACCGCUUAAUUGUAUUAUUGAUUCAGGUUAAGCCUUAAGCUGUUUGUCAGAAGGACUCUCUCCCAGUAAAAGCAGCCUGGAUUGUCUUGUCUCCUGAUCAAUUGCAU
Molecule: long non-coding RNA, 5651 nt
Organism: Dermochelys coriacea (leatherback sea turtle)
Lineage: Eukaryota; Metazoa; Chordata; Testudines; Dermochelyidae
Exons: 3
Source: RefSeq, a predicted model, not a curated record